This 374-nucleotide ribosomal RNA is filed under the name uncultured bacterium. RNAcentral describes it as "bacterial SSU rRNA". It matches the Rfam family "Bacterial small subunit ribosomal RNA", at positions 524 to 898 of the family's 1533-position model. The record is from RNAcentral.
UACGUAGGGUGCAAGCGUUAAUCGGAAUUACUGGGCGUAAAGCGUGCGCAGGCGGUGAUGUAAGACAGAUGUGAAAUCCCCGGGCUCAACCUGGGAACUGCAUUUGUGACUGCAUUGCUGGAGUGCGGCAGAGGGGGAUGGAAUUCCGCGUGUAGCAGUGAAAUGCGUAGAUAUGCGGAGGAACACCGAUGGCGAAGGCAAUCCCCUGGGCCUGCACUGACGCUCAUGCACGAAAGCGUGGGGAGCAAACAGGAUUAGAUACCCUGGUAGUCCACGCCCUAAACGAUGUCAACUGGUUGUUGGGAAUUUACUUUCUCAGUAACGAAGCUAACGCGUGAAGUUGACCGCCUGGGGAGUACGGCCGCAAGGUUGAA